This 442-nucleotide ribosomal RNA is filed under the name uncultured bacterium. RNAcentral's name for it is "partial 16S ribosomal RNA". It matches the Rfam family "Bacterial small subunit ribosomal RNA", at positions 338 to 795 of the family's 1533-position model. The record is from RNAcentral.
CCUACGGGCGGCUGCAGUUGGGAAUCUUGCACAAUGGGGGAAACCCUGAUGCAGCGACGCCGCGUGGAGGAAGAAGGGUCUAGGCUCGUAAACUCCUUUUUCAGGGAAAGACUUAGGACGGUACCCUGAGAAUAAGCUCCGGCUAACUACGUGCCAGCAGCCGCGGUAAGCCGUAGGGAGCGAGCGUUGUACGGAUUAACUGGGCGUAAAGAGCACGUAGGCGGUCUGUUAAGUGAGAAGUGAAAUCUCCAGCGCUCAACGCGGAAACUGCAUUUCAAACUGGCAGACUGGAGUGAUGCAGAGGCAAGUAGAAUUCCUGGUGUACCGGUGACAUGGGUUGAUAUCAGGAGGAAUACCAAUGGCGAAGGCAGCUUGCUGGGCAUCAUCUGACGCUGAGGUGCGAAAGCGUGGGGAGCAAACAGGAUUAGAUACCCCUGUAGUC